This is a long non-coding RNA of Brassica napus (rape), 1900 nucleotides long. RefSeq lists it as uncharacterized. NCBI's taxonomy places the organism in Eukaryota, Viridiplantae, Streptophyta, Magnoliopsida, Brassicales, Brassicaceae. The transcript is spliced from 4 exons. The record is from RefSeq and is a predicted model, not a curated record.
UAUUGGGCUUCAGUUUAAUUGAGAGAAAGAGGUCGGGCACAUGAAUUAGGGUCCGACGGUCGUCUUCUCCAAACUCAGAUGACGUUCCUGAUACCUUCAGCAGAGAAACGGAUCUACCUUUAAUCCCAUUGAUUGGUGCCUCCACGAUGUGUUUUCAAUGCGAUCCUUACGCCUCAGAGGUGGUGCGAUUAUUGCGUAUAAAUAGGGGUCACCCCUCUCAUCCUCGACGCACCCACGCUUUCCUACAUAGAUUCUUCUUUGUUUUUGUCAUGUAUGCUCCGAAAGUUUUCUUCUCAGACCUCAAGUCCGGCAAGUGCUCCUCCGUCGUUGAGGCUCGGCUUCUGCGGUCCUGGGAGGCAAAAAAUGUCAAACGCGAUGGGGAAUUGAUGUGGGUCGACAUGCUCUUGAUUGACGUCAACGCGACAAUGAUGCAGGUCACCAUCAAUGCUAACCGCCUUUCACGAUUCCGUUCCAAACUCGCCGCCGGGACGAUGUACACCGUCUCUGGCUUCGAUGCGGCGGCGAUGAGGGACUUUCUAGUUUCUUCGUUCGAUCUGAAACGGUUCUAUCUAUGGCUGCAUGGUAAAUCGAAUUGAUCGGAUUUUAUCAUUUUGUGAGUUUCGUCAACGGAAGAGAAAGAUGGUAGUACAGCUCCUAUUAUCGAGACUAGGAUGCAAGAACCGACCCUUUUUCGGGUAAUGGCGGCGGAUAGCAGAUCUCCGAGAGACGGGAAGCACAUCGAGGUCUUGGGUUACUUCAAUCCUUUGCCAGGCCAGGAUGGUGGUAAGAGAAUGGGUCUCAAGUUUUAUAGAAUCAAGUACGUUUCCUUAUCAUCUUUUCACAUUUGAGUUUGUGAAUGGAGUUGGAUGAUUUAGACCAUUGUUAUAAGGGAAGGCUCUCUUAGUUUAUUAAUAUGUGAAUGGAGCUGGAAACGUUAUUAGAAUGAUUCUUCAGUUCAUUGUAGCUUUGUGAAAGUAGUUUCCUUUGUUCAAAGGAGCAAUGCGUUUUUUUAAUCAUGUUUCUUGAGAUUGUCUUCUACUUACUUAAAUCACUCUUCUGGGUUUCUGCAUUUGAAAUGUUUUGGUCUAAGAUAUCAGUCAGGGUUUGCAGUCACAUUUACACAAUGAUUAGCUAUAUUUCCUUGGAUAUUUUCUCUUUCAUAUGUGUUGUUAUGACUACUUUCUCUGUUUUCUUUGAUUGAAUUUUGCAAUGUUUUUUUUUCAAAACAAAAAAAAUUUGCUUUAUUUUCUGGUGGUUUCGUGGCAGCUCCAUAACUUGAGUUUUAGGGGUUUUCAAAGUGUAAGCUCCAUAACAAUUGAUUUUCCAUAACAAUGUAAGUUAUCAAUGGGUAAUCUUCUGGUUUGUAUUUGUCACGUAGAAACUUCGAAUCCAUAUUUGGCUAUUUGAGCGGAAAGAUCUGAAGACUGAAGAAAUAAUUAAUGUAAAUCUGUACUACACAUUUUUAGCUAUGAAUCUGUUCCGAACAGAGCUCCAUGAGCAUGUACUUUGUAAUUCCUAGCUUAGUUUUCUUUCUAAAUCAAGUUUAAAUACACUGUUUAAUCGAUCUCUUUGUUUUCUCAAGUGUUCAGGAAUUCAUGGUGUUCUUUGUGCGGCUGAAUUCAUGGAGUACAAACACUACCGAGGCCUAGGUCUUGAUGCCUGCAUAAUCUACAUAGAUGGUGCUUAUGAUACUUUUCAGUUGGCCACACUAAGCUAAAUGUCAACACUACUGAGGAAUUCAUGGUGUUCUUUGUUCAGAAAGUUGCUACAUAUUUUAUUAAUCUUUAUGUUUUUCAUUUUCCCUGUUUUUGUCGAUAGAAUUUGAGCGUAAUAUGUAUUUGACUACAUAGAUCUUCAAAACUAUAUUUUUGAAAUGAGAAGAGAGUUUAUUUUUAACAAA